ACAGCCCAGCUCAGUCUCCCAUGAUUUAAGAAACAGAGAAGAUGCCGACUGCCCUUCAGCCAUGAGAUGAGAACGGUAGGCGAUGUCUUCAAGGUGACUGAAGAGGACUUUACCGCAAAACAGAUUUCUCCAUCAUGUUCAACACAUUCUCUGCUACAUUCAGAAGAAAUCCCUAUGUAUAGACAAAGAUGUGAAGAAUAACAUUCAGGCUUCCUGCCAUCACAAGGGGUAGCUCCCGGCAUAACUUUUAUUCUGUAAUUAUUCCAAUAUGACACAAGGACAAAAUAAA
Molecule: long non-coding RNA, 289 nt
Organism: Hyla sarda
Lineage: Eukaryota; Metazoa; Chordata; Amphibia; Anura; Hylidae
Exons: 3
Source: RefSeq, a predicted model, not a curated record